RNAcentral lists this transfer RNA (40 nucleotides) under Natrix natrix (European grass snake). Its description in RNAcentral is "partial transfer RNA-Leu". Lineage: Eukaryota; Metazoa; Chordata; Lepidosauria; Squamata; Natricidae. The record is from RNAcentral.
UCUACCAAAGGAUAAUAGUAUUCCACUGGUCUUAGGCGCC